AGCAGUGCACCAAGCCCUCCUCUUGGCAGGAAGCAGCAGACUAGAGCAAGUGAGGGAGAGUCGAAGCUGGCGGGGGGGUUUUCCCAGACAACAGCCUGUCCCGUGCUGCUCCCUGCCAGCCCCAAAUCAGGAGUCCCCCCACCCCCGCACCACCGUGUUUCUAGUCCUGAGAGUGAUGGGCUGGGGGAUGGAGCCUCUGAAAAUUCCACGAAGGUACUGCCCAGUUUUAGCAAUGAAAGUCCCACGUCACGGGAAACCUCUGAGUCCUGGACAAAUCAAGAUGACAUUUUCUAUGCAUAUGCAAGCAUGUCACCAGGAGCAGAGCACAGAGGGACAACACAGCUUUUGCGCUUCCAGCUGGCUCCCAUCAAGAAGUUAGAAGGGAGCCUGCAAACACAUUUCCUGCUAUCAUCUCUCCACCCCAGAAUGACUUUCCCUGGUAGAGCUGGGGGAGGGGAGGCGGGCAGCAGGCCCCCCAGGAGGCCCUGGGCAGGAAUAUUAAUACUCCAACUUCCCAGCACAAGAGGAGGGAGGAGGAGCGGCCACGGCGCAGUCCGGUCCUGGGGGCCCUGGAAGGUGGUUGCUGAGCAGCCCGUGGGAGGCACGGAUCCGCCAGCUCACGGCGGCAGGGGCCGCCCAAGUCCUAAUGAAAACACCUAGCUCCUGGCAGGGCGCAGCCGACACAUCGCCCUGCCUUCUCGGCCACCUGGGAGAGGAUGGGCGCCGCACGCGGAUACCCAACCUGCCGGGUUGUGCUCGCAGUGACAUCGCUUUUCUCCCGGCAAGUGCAUCCAUCUCGCUGGGUCUGGAUAGAUAACACAAUCUCUCUGCCCACACCCCAUUUGCUGGGAGACAGCCUGGGCUUCUCCAUUUUUUAUGGGCUCACUUAGCUUGGAGGAAAUCCAGAGGUCAAAGCCGGCGCAGACGCUCCAGUCACCUUGCCCGUCCGGGCGCGCAGCCAUUCCGAAACGGGCUCACCCACGGGGCCCUAAAUUACGGCGAUUACACUGCAAUUCGCAGCGCGAUAUUACUUUGAUACACUACCUGCUGCAGCUUGGCCCGGGAGGCGUGCAUUAUUUACCAGGGAGGCUGUCCGUACUGCGCACCAGAGCUGACAGCGCUCCGCGGGGUCCCUCCUGUCCCUACAGCCCCGCCUUCGCCCGCGGUGCGGGGUCUGGAGGCAGUGGGGCGGGGGCAGGGGGUCACUGGAGCAGCCCCGCUCUCUCGGAGUGACCGUUUCCUGAACGCAAUAUAGCCCGGAGAGGACCCAGUGGCGGAAGCGGCAGCUGGCGAUGAGGUUGGGGGUUAGUAGGUGGGAACAAGUGCUGAGCCCGCAGCUCCUCCUGGCUCUUAAGGACACCCAGACCCUCCUUAGCCGGCCUAUAAGGGCCCUUGUUGCGCGCGCGCAGGGACCCACACAGGGCCUGCCCAGGGGUGCAAGGCUGGUCCCUGGCCCCUGGCCAACUGUUAAAACGGCUAGCAGCCGGCUAACCCCACCGGCAGGCUCCAGGAUUUAGCCUGUGGCGGCUGGUGGCGGAGAUGGAGGGAACUCAGGCUACCCUCUUCCUCGGGCCCUGGAAGCUGCGUGCGCCUCAGCUGAGGCCUGAUUUCGCCGUGGCUGGGGGCUGGGGCCGGAGUUGGGCCCGGCUUCUCUCCGGCUCCCCCAUUACGGUUUGGCAUCAGCAUCUAGAUUGCAGGUUACUUCUGCUUUUAUCCAAAGCGGUCCUUAAGGGAGAUGGAGUUCUGAUUGAAAUCCAGUCAAUUGGCGCCGUGGCUCAGAGGGCCCAGCGUGAGCACACUUGUAGGGAAAUUGCCCUGGGUCUGAGAGGAGGGGCAGGGGUGGGGGAGGGAACAGGACCCGCAGGCCUGCUCUGGAGCCUGUGAACGCGCUGCUGCGAGGACUUUAGCGGAUGCGCUCAGGUCGGUAUCCGCGGGAGUCCUGGAGGGAAAUCCGCUCUCCUUCUCCAGCUCCCUGGGAUUGAUGGAACCAGAAACCUCAAGCAAGGGAUCCCCAGAGGUCACUGCGUCCAGUCUCCAGCCUCAGACAGUGUCUGGGUAGUGGAGGAGGGGCCGAGUCUGUGGGACCGAGCUGUCUGCUUUGGUGGGUGAAGGAGGGUGGACUUCUGGGGUCUGGGUUGAGAUGUGGAUUAGUUCCAGGACUAGUUCCUGUUACUCGUAGGCGGGGAGAGGUCAUGGUCCCUGCUGAACACAUCUGGCUGUGUUCAGUCCUGAACUGCCCUGGGCUCCUCAGCAGUGUGCACAGGGGUCUGGCCUCCAAAUUUCUUGUUAACAGCCCAUCAGGAGCUGGAGGAGCUGGCCUGGCCUUCAAGGUGUGGAGGGGUUCCUGGAAGGAAGCAGAUGGGCACACGGAGGAGAAGAAUGACAAAUCCAUGCUUCCCCAAUGCUGGGGAGAGAAUAUGGUGGUGGGGAGGAAGCAUGGAGACCAGAAGCAUUCCCGGGAAUGCUUCUGGAAGUAUCCCAGAAAUGUCAAGAGCUCAUUCUGCCAGCUCUUCCGGGGCCAGCAAAGAACAUACAUAUCAUUUCUCCAUCCACUUUGGGACCUGCCUGAGAUGAACAUAUGUUUUAAAAGGAAUCCCAAUUGCUGCAGGAGCAGAUGGUGCUACAGGGGCAGGCAAGGGCAGGAGAAAGGAUACUGGCUGGCAGUAGGGUAGGAGUCCUGGGCUCUGCCUCGCCCCUUCCUCUUACCAGCCGUGUGAGCUGUGUGGCUGCGGGCAAGUCACUCCCCGGCUCUGUGCUGCCCCAUUUUCCUUGUGAAGAAUGAGUGGGUCCCCUGUAGCAUGCAGGAUGAGCUGAGGCCUCACUCCCCUGCGGUGGAGAGGACAGAACACUCUCUCCAUCAGCAGGGAAGACAGAUUUUCCUAUUUAUUAGCCUGUUCAGCUGGCAGACACAGGGACUGUCCUCUAGGCCAUGGGGUGGGGAAGAGGGGGACAGAGCCCCACACCAGCCCCCGCUGUGUCCAUCCUCUGCCUGUGGCUGUUUGCCUGAUUGAUUUGUUUGGUGGCCUCCCUGGCUGGGAUUGGGUCCCUGUGUCCUCCUGCACAUUUGCCUCUGGUCCCUCUCUGUGUGGUCAGGAGGGGGAGCUCUAGGUGUAGGGGCGGAAGAGACUGGAACAUCUAUCCAUCACGGACUGACUCUUGGGCUUGGUAAGGAUCCUAACAACCACCGGGUCCACCUGCCACCUUGUGCUCCGGGCCCCUCCCCAGAAGCUCCCCCUGCAGUGGGAGGCUCACUGCCUCUCGCUGAGCCACUCCCAGAAAGUUCACCCUUUUCUGGAUCCCAAGUCGAGUCCCUUGUGUCAUCUCUCAUUCAUCCUAGCUCUUCUUGUUGGCCUAGGUGUGAACUCCAUGCCUACAGGACCACCCUUCAGAUAUUUCAGGGCAGCGAUCUUGUUCAUCCCCUACUCCACCUUCUUGGGGCAAAACCUGCCUAGUAUCCUCCCUGCUGCUUCCCAGUCCCCUCACACUCUAGCUCUGACAAGAAGUGAUUGAGCUUCCAGUCAGAUGUCAGAGGCCCUGGUCUCCAGGGAGCUUCUAGUCUGGGAGAUAGUCUUCCUAGGACCUAAAGAAUGAAUAACAAAAUCACACAGGCAUUUGGGACUGUUGGAUUUCCAACUGGUAUGGCUGCUGGUCUGGAAACCUCCUCAGAGGUGAGUGGGUUUAGUCGUCUUCCAUGUAGAGAAGUCUUCCUGUUCUCUCUGAAACAGCUAUGCUCCCCCUCCUCAGAGACUGUGGGACUACUGGGUGCUCCGAUGGCGCUGGUGCCUGCUCCGGAGAGAAGUGGGAGAGAAUACUUUCCAGUUCUUCCCACCUCCAUCCCCAUCCAUCCUGGUGUGGGUACCACAGAAACCUGAGGUCCAGGGGGAAGCUUUCCACAGUGGGACCACCUCAGUGUCUUCGGUCCCCAGGGCACCUACUUUUUCUCCUGACUUCCAGAAGAUGUUCCCAGAGGGGCUGGUCUACGCUGCAAGAGUGGGCCCGCCACAUCUAGGCCUCCACCCCGCCCCCAGCUCUUAAUUUAUUAUUAACUCUGGAACUGACUUUGAAAUUAUGGAAGGCCAUGUUGUUUCUUUCCUCUGCAUCUCUUAUGGUCCCCAAGGGGAGGCGAGCUGAGAGUGCCAGAUACACAAAUAUGCAGCGAAAACCCUGUGGAUUUUUGGUUCUAGCAAGGGGAAGGAAAUUAGCUGUAAUAAGCUGCUGUCGCCUCACUGGAAAGCCUCCAGCACAGACCCUCGGAGGGGCUCCUGGGCCCCCUUCCUCUGCUCUCCCCACUUCCCGGCUGCAUGGCUGAAGAUCUCUGUCUUCAGCUUCCCCUGCAGGGGAGUGGCCUCCUCCCCACCCAGUCCUGUGACAUCACUGAUGGAGAUGAUCAAUAUCCCGGGCCUGUGAGGAGGAGGAGGAGGAGGAGACUGCAGGCACACAGAGAAGUGGUCUCUGGCCUCUUCCCAAGCCAUUAGCUUGAAUGGUGGUAGGAGAGGCAGGUGGGAGUCAAUUUCCAUUCUCCUAGAAUUACUGGAAGGCAGAGGGUUAUUUGGAAGUUUCUGAAAGGUGUGAGGUAUUCAUUGGCCCUCACACAAAAGGAUCAGUAGGCUCUGGUCUUUCCUUUUUCCUCUCCUGAGGAGAGCCAAGGGCUAAAACCCUUAAGUGACUACCCCACAGCAACAGCUGCACUUAGGCAGAAAAUAGCCUGGGCUGUGACUGGAGCCCUGGAAGGAACUAGUUCUAGCCCUUUGCUGGCUAACUUGGCCCAUCCUGAUCUGGCAUUGGGCUUCUCUCUGGCUUCUAAUGCAAAGAACAUAACUCAAUCAAAUGGCAGAUAUGAUGUUAAGCAUUCAUUGAAUUGAGUGGUUAAGUUCCCCCAUAACUUGCUGUGUGACCUCUGGUGAGUCACCUAACCUCUCUGGGCUUCACAUACUUUAUAUGUAAAAGGAGAGCAGGAGUGAGAUGAGUGCACCAUUUCUAAGACCCAGGAGUAAUCAUGCUGGGACACAUGUUUUAUAACCGUGGCCCAAACGCUCUUUCCUUCAUGUCCACCAGCCAAAAUGUUGGGCCUCACUUGCCGGUAAUGCUAUUACAUGGAAGGUUUUACGGCCAACAGGACAGUCAUGAGCUUUCACUACUAAUAAUUAUCUUUGUGAUUUAAAAUUUUAGCAAUAAGAUGGAUUCUUACCAAUAUUACUAUGUAUUAGUCUGUUUUCACAUUGCUGUAAAGAACUACCUGACACUAGGCAGUUAAUAAAGAGAAGAGGUUUCAUUGACUCACAGUUCAGCGGGCUGUAUAGGAAACAUGGCUGGGAGGCCUCAGGAAGGUGCAUGGGAAGCAAGCACCUCUUUACAUGGUGGCAGGAGAGAAAGGGCAAAGGGGAAGUGCCACACACUUUUAACCAACCAGAUCUCAUGAGCCAGCACUAGGGGGAUGGUACUAAACCACUAGAAACCACCCUCAUGAUCCAAUCACCUCCCACCAGGCCCCACCUCCAACACUCGGGAUCACGUUUCAACAUGAGAUUUGGGUGGGGACACAGAGCCAAACCAUACCAUACCGUAUAUUUUUACUUUUUAAAAAACUUCCUAAGAUUUUUCCCUUGGAGAGACAACAGGCUGUAAGAGUGAAGAGUGUGAGCCCAGGAGUCUGUCUGCCUGGAUUUGAAUCCUGGCUCUGCCACCUACCAGCUUUGUUAUCUUGAGGGUGUCCCUUCACUUCUCUGUGCCUCCGUGUCCUCAUCUAUAAAGUGAGAAAAAUGGCUGGGCGUGGCGGUUCAGGCCUGUAAUCCCAGCGCUUUGAGAGGCUGAGACGGGUGGAUCACCUGAAGUCAGUUCGAGACCAGCUUGGCCAACAUAGUGAAACCCCGUCUCUCCUAAAAAUACUGUAGUCCCAGCUACGGGAAGCUGAGGCAGGAGAAUUGCUUAAGCCCAGGAGGUGGAGGUUGCAAGGAGCCGAGAUUGCGCCACUGCACACCAGCCUGGCUGACAGAGAUUCCAUCUCAACAACAACAACGACAACAAAAAGCAGCGGGGAAAAUAAUACAACACAAAGCUGCUGUGGUCUGAAGGGCUUAAAACAGUACCUGGUGCAUAGUUAGUGCAAGCUUACUGAGUGUUGAGUGUUAUUACUGUCAAUGAUAAUAAUAGAAUGCCUUUGAACCCUUCUCAGGAGAAGCAGCCUUUUUAUUUCCUCAUGUUGGCCCCUGCAUCUUUGCUAGAGUGAUCAAUUAGACACAUAUACUUUCUGAAAUUCUGAGGGCACCCAGUGGGAUGAUCUUUAAGGUAUACUUCCA
RNAcentral lists this long non-coding RNA (6296 nucleotides) under Homo sapiens (human). Its description in RNAcentral is "non-protein coding LINC02520:31". The record is from RNAcentral. Lineage: Eukaryota; Metazoa; Chordata; Mammalia; Primates; Hominidae.